This 775-nucleotide ribosomal RNA is filed under the name uncultured Neocallimastigales. Its description in RNAcentral is "partial large subunit ribosomal RNA". It matches the Rfam family "Eukaryotic large subunit ribosomal RNA", at positions 23 to 616 of the family's 3401-position model. Lineage: Eukaryota; Fungi; Neocallimastigomycota; Neocallimastigomycetes; Neocallimastigales. The record is from RNAcentral.
AGAGAGAGACAUGCGCGCAUAUCAAUAAGCGGAGGAAAAGAAACUAACAAGGAUUCCCUUAGUAACGGCGAGUGAAGCGGGAAGAGCUCAAAUUUGAAAUCUUCAAGGGUUUACCUUUACGAAUUGUAGUUUAAAGAAGUGUUUUCUGUUGAAGUUUUCGGUAAAAGUUCUUUGGAAUAGGACAUCAUAGAGGGUGAGAAUCCCGUAUUUGACCAUUACUUUCAGCUUUGUGAUACACUUUCAAAGAGUCGGAUUGUUUGGGAAUGCAGUCCAAAAUGGGUGGUAAAUUUCAUCUAAAGCUAAAUAUUGGCGAGAGACCGAUAGCGAACAAGUACCGUGAGGGAAAGAUGAAAAGAACUUUGAAAAGAGAGUUAAACAGUACGUGAAAUUGUCAAAAGGGAAGCGUUUGACACCAGUGUUGUUUUUCUGAAAAUCAAUUAAAGAACUGUUUAUGCUAAGUUGUUUAGACUUUAUCAGCUAACUGUUUAGUUUUGAGCUUUUCUUUAAUGCACUUUUCAGUUAACAAGUCAACAUCAAUUUCUUUUGCUGUAAAAAAGCUUGAGGAAGGUGGCUUGAGAUUCGUCUUAAGUGUUUAUAGCCUCUUGCCUAUGCAGUCGGAGAGAUUGAGGUCUGCAGCGUAGAUCCUUCGGGGCUAAAUGCAUUUGUGCUAAGUUAUAGCAUUUUAUAGACAACUUGUUGACUAUGAUUUGUCUUGUAGCUUACUCGCUUAUGUUAUUUUACCUACGCUUAGGAUGUUGAGCGCAUGUCUCUCUCU